RNAcentral lists this ribosomal RNA (785 nucleotides) under Listeria monocytogenes. RNAcentral describes it as "partial 23S ribosomal RNA". It matches the Rfam family "Bacterial large subunit ribosomal RNA", at positions 1006 to 1793 of the family's 2925-position model. The record is from RNAcentral. Lineage: Bacteria; Bacillati; Bacillota; Bacilli; Caryophanales; Listeriaceae.
CGUGUUCGAAAGGGAAACAGCCCAGACCACCAGCUAAGGUCCCAAAAUAUAUGUUAAGUGGAAAAGGAUGUGGCGUUGCCCAGACAACUAGGAUGUUGGCUUAGAAGCAGCCAUCAUUUAAAGAGUGCGUAAUAGCUCACUAGUCGAGUGACACUGCGCCGAAAAUGUACCGGGGCUAAACAUAUUACCGAAGCUGUGGAUUGUCCGUAGGACAAUGGUAGGAGAGCGUUCUAAGGGCGUCGAAGCAUGAUCGCAAGGACAUGUGGAGCGCUUAGAAGUGAGAAUGCCGGUGUGAGUAGCGAAAGACGGGUGAGAAUCCCGUCCACCGAUUGACUAAGGUUUCCAGAGGAAGGCUCGUCCGCUCUGGGUUAGUCGGGUCCUAAGCUGAGGCCGACAGGCGUAGGCGAUGGAUAACAGGUUGAUAUUCCUGUACCACCUAGUAUCGUUUUAAUCGAUGGGGGGACGCAGUAGGAUAGGCGAAGCGUGCUAUUGGAUUGCACGUCCAAGCAGUAAGACUGAGUGUUAGGCAAAUCCGGCACUCAUAAGGUCAAGCUGUGAUGGGGAGAGGAAAUUGUUUCCUCGAGUCGUUGAUUUCACACUGCCAAGAAAAGCCUCUAGAUAGAUAACAGGUGCCCGUACCGCAAACCGACACAGGUAGUCAAGAUGAGAAUUCUAAGGUGAGCGAGCGAACUCUCGUUAAGGAACUCGGCAAAAUGACCCCGUAACUUCGGGAGAAGGGGUGCUCUUUAGGGUUAACGCCCAGAAGAGCCGCAGUGAAUAGGCCC